GCAUCGGUGGUUCAGUGGUAGUAUUUUUGCCUUCUACGCAGGAGACCCAGGUUUGAUUGCUGGCCAAUGCA
RNAcentral lists this transfer RNA (71 nucleotides) under Loxodonta africana (African savanna elephant). It matches the Rfam family "tRNA". From Rfam's summary of the family: Transfer RNA (tRNA) molecules are approximately 80 nucleotides in length. Their secondary structure includes four short double-helical elements and three loops (D, anti-codon, and T loops). Further hydrogen bonds mediate the characteristic L-shaped molecular structure. tRNAs have two regions of fundamental functional importance: the anti-codon, which is responsible for specific mRNA codon recognition, and the 3' end, to which the tRNAs corresponding amino acid is attached (by aminoacyl-tRNA synthetases). tRNAs cope with the degeneracy of the genetic code in two manners: having more than one tRNA (with a specific anti-codon) for a particular amino acid; and 'wobble' base-pairing, i.e. permitting non-standard base-pairing at the 3rd anti-codon position. Lineage: Eukaryota; Metazoa; Chordata; Mammalia; Proboscidea; Elephantidae. The record is from Rfam by way of RNAcentral.